AGUUGGUGGAGUGAUUUGUCUGGUUAAUUCCGUUAACGAACGAGACCUCGACUUACUAAAUAGUUUGCGUCACGCUUCGGCGUGGCGACAGACUUCUUAGAAGGACUAUCGGCGCGUAGCCGGUGGAAGUUCGAGGCAAUAACAGGU
RNAcentral lists this ribosomal RNA (147 nucleotides) under Cercozoa sp. Its description in RNAcentral is "partial small subunit ribosomal RNA". It matches the Rfam family "Eukaryotic small subunit ribosomal RNA", at positions 1296 to 1461 of the family's 1831-position model. The record is from RNAcentral. Lineage: Eukaryota; Cercozoa.